UCUGUCUACACAUGGUGGGCAUGGUGGGAGAAACCAGUGUGCAGUUGGUCUUACAAAAGGCGACCAGUAACAUAACACUCUUUGAAAGCAAUCUUCAGGAAAACACUUAUUUCCACUGCAUUCCUUUCCAGUAAAAUUCAGAGUUGUCUCACUGAAUGAGAAUUUCCAACCAGGAAAGAACCAGUUAUCAGCCGUAAAGUUACAGGAUCCAGAGAAGAACCUAAUCGGACAGUGGCUAAAUGUCAGUCUCAGUCAGGGAAUUGCUGAG
Bufo gargarizans (Asiatic toad) is the source of this 268-nucleotide long non-coding RNA. RefSeq lists it as uncharacterized. The record is from RefSeq and is a predicted model, not a curated record. Lineage: Eukaryota; Metazoa; Chordata; Amphibia; Anura; Bufonidae. The transcript is spliced from 4 exons.